This 253-nucleotide ribosomal RNA is filed under the name uncultured bacterium. RNAcentral describes it as "partial 16S ribosomal RNA". It matches the Rfam family "Bacterial small subunit ribosomal RNA", at positions 524 to 776 of the family's 1533-position model. The record is from RNAcentral.
UACGUAGUGCGCAAGCGUUAUCCGGAAUUAUUGGGCGUAAAGAGCUCGUAGGCGGUUUGUCGCGUCUGCCGUGAAAGUCCGAGGCUCAACCUCGGAUCUGCGGUGGGUACGGGCAGACUAGAGUGAUGUAGGGGAGACUGGAAUUCCUGGUGUAGCGGUGAAAUGCGCAGAUAUCAGGAGGAACACCGAUGGCGAAGGCAGGUCUCUGGGCAUUAACUGACGCUGAGGAGCGAAAGCAUGGGGAGCGAACAGG